AUAUGAUUUCCUUUUUUAUCGGUUUCCUUGCACAGUUUAGUCAGAGGUUCCCAAACAGUGGUUCUCAAUCGGUGUGUUACGACAUUCUAGAGUGCUGCAUAUUACUGUGAUAUGUAUCGUCAAAAAAGUUGUUUGUUUGUACGUAAAUAUCCAUGUCCUCAUUCAUAAUCACUAUGUUGUGAGCAUUGUGUAUGCCAUUUAAAUUCAUUAAUCAUUUUUAUGGAUCUAAAUUAGGGUGUCAUCAUA
Non-coding RNA from Cinara cedri, 246 nucleotides. The record is from the annotation of a GenBank genome assembly. NCBI's taxonomy places the organism in Eukaryota, Metazoa, Arthropoda, Insecta, Hemiptera, Aphididae.